AAUUAUUUCAAUGCUGGAAAAUUUGAGUUGUGCUAAUACAGAAAAAAAAAAAACCCAUUCUGCCUUUCCUGGAGUCUAAGCAAUUUCUUUAACUGGGUUAUAAAAGUUGCAUUCCAAGGGUGCUGGAAAGUUUUUCACUCACUUCUUUAUCAAAAUAGCAUCUUGAUAGAGAAAUGGAAUUAGUUUCAUGAAUUCAAACAUGAAAGAACACUAAAAACAUGGGCUUCUGAAUGUAAAUUUCAUUAUGUGUGGUUAGUUAUGGACAGUGGAUUUUCUUUCUACGUUUUGUUCUCUUUUUUUUUGGAAGUUUGCUGAGUGAAUCGUAAGUAUAAUGGAGAGAAAUAGCUUUCACAUGCCCUGGCAUGCACCAGGAAUGAUUAAAAGGACUCAAAUUUAACCCACAGAGUUUCUGUAUUUUGGAGAGCAAUUAUUUUAAUCAGUGAUUCUUGUUUGUUUGUUUCCUGAAUCUGGGUUUAUGGCUUAAUUCAGAGACUCUGCAACUAUUUAACAAUUUCCCACAUUUGUCUUGAAGUGAAAGAAAGAGAAGUCCUCUCUGUACAUUUCUUGCCCCCAGGCCCUGGUACAGCUCUUGGGAGAUCAUGUGUUCAUGACAGCAGCUUAAGCAAAUCAAGGAGAGGCCAUCUCUCUACGAGAUGCAGCAGAGUACACAGGCUGAGAAGAGGCAGCCAAAGCAGUUCAAGCCCCUGGACUUCAACAAGGCAUUUGACACUGUUUGCCACUGCCUACUCCUGCACAAAGUGGCAAGCUACUGACUGGAAAAAUGGUCAGUGGGAUGGAUUGGAAGUUGACUCACAGACUGAAAUCAGAGCAUGCUGAUUGAUGCUUUUACUCAGGCUGGCUCCCUGUCACACACAGGGUCCCACAGGGAUCAAAACUUGCCCCCACCCUGUCCAACAUCUUCAUAAAUCAUCUAGAUGAUAGGUUUGAAAGAACCCUCACUAAGUUAGCUGAUGACGCUUACAUGUGUAGAGUAAUUAUUACUCAAGGAAGUUCAAUUUCUCAUUGUAAGUGUUCUAUAGAGUACUUUUUAUGCUGUCUUUAUGUCCAGCUACUUCUUUAGAUACUAUUAGUCGAUCACUCCUGAGUAGUAAAGAGGCUACCCACAUCUAGUCUGCACUAAUUUUCCGAUUUUGAUGUUGCAUGAACUCUGCUCAGAGAAAGGGAGGAACAAAGAAAACAGUUGCGUUGGAUUUUUUCACAGUUAAGUGUCGGAUGGUUUUGUACUAGGGCUUAAUAUUUUAUCUGUAUCAGAAAUUAUGGAGCCAAAUUUCCUAUGUAAUUUUGUAUGAAAAUUAGAUUCUUUGGUGUCUGCUUAGAAGUGAAGUAGAGUUUGGAGAAACUUUCCACUGUGAAAGUUGUUUAUUUUCAGAAAAGUUCAAUUUCUAUGAACAUUACAGUUUUGAGGCUUCUGUUUCACUUUCAUAUUUGGUACUUAAAAAUGGAUUCAAAAGAAGAGAAUAUGCCUCUAAAAGAACUCACACAUUAAACAUGACUGUCUAGAACUUGAAAUCAGUAGAAGAAACAUAGAAAUACUUUUUUAUAAAUAUUAUUUUCAUUGUUAAAUAUAUAAUCUGUCUUAAAUCAGUUGCUUUUUAAAAAUGUAGUCUAUCCAUAAAUGUUGCCAGAUGUCAAACUCAAGUCUUCAGAAAGGUGUUAGGUCUGAUUAGAAAUCAGUGCUGCAUAAGAUGCAUUUAUGGAUGACCUGGAGAGUUCACCUAGUGAGAAUCACUUCUCACCAUGCAAGAGCUCCAAAUUGUAUUUGAAAUUAAUAUUUCUGAUUAAAAUUGGCACUCCUGAGCCUCCUGCUGACUAACUCCUGUUUGCUUAAACAAUAACCUUAUUUCAGCUGAAAAUAUCCUCAGCAGACAUGCUUUCAAGUUCUGUACUUCAUGCUGCUCUAAUGUUGCAGGAAGAAUCUCAAACACUUAUCCCAGACACAGCCACCAGGCUAUGGAAGUGCCUUGGCUUUUUCCCUGCCAUUUUUGCAACUGCUGUGCUGAAAGAGGAGCCAGUGUAGUGACUGAAAAUUUCUGCUUUCCUCUCAGCCGGUGUCUCUUAUGAAUCUUUUGAUUACCUGCUGUUCUAUUACUGCCUUAUGAUCACUGGUCUUCCCUGUACCAGCCCUACUAUUUUAUCUUAUGACACCAUUCUGAUACAUUUCUACAAUUUCUGAGAAGUGUUUUAAGAUACAGUAGCACCCAGGCAGAGAGCUCAAUUCCAUGCUUCUCAUUCUGUGAUUAUAAAUACAUUUCUAUCUCAAAUGCUGAUGAAUAAUCAAAAUGAAAAAAAAAAAAUUAAUCAGUCUUUUAAUCCAUUUUGUGUUUCAAGUUUGUACUACAUCUGUCUUCAGCUUCUAACUUGUGCUCUUGACUGACAUUUUUACUUUUGAAACACUUCUUCCUUUUCUAAGUAGAAGCAAUCACUUCUCCAAAGUGAAAAAUGUAAAACAAAUUUGUCAAAAAAAAAAUAUUUUGAAGUUUCCCUCUUCCAGCUUUUUUUGGUUUUGUUUUUCCAGUCUUUUGUGUUUUGCUUCAGCUGUAAAACUGUAGAUGACUUCAUGUCAGUGCAUCUUUGUAAUAUCCUCUCAAAACAUUAUCAUUUUCUGUCCUGACAUAGUGCCAGAAUUUUCAUUGUGAUUCUAAAGCAACACUGUCCUUUAAUCAAUGUCCUUCAGAUCACUGGAAAAGGAGAGAAAUAAUACUGCUUAAAGCUUACUUGUGAUUUAGUCAUUGACAACAUUAUUUACUCUCAAAAAGAAUGAAGUUUAGCUACAAAAUAGUCCUUCAAUAGGACAAAAAGGUACUCGCUAUACAGCAUCUGCUUCUGCUGCGUAAGUAUAGAGGUGCAAUUAAGUGGCUUCACAAAACUAAUUUCAAUAGCCAUUUUCCAAAAACCCAACAGAAGUAAGCGACAGCUAACUGGAGUAACUUAGAUGAUCAUUACUUGGCUUAAUUGACAGAACUAUGCCAAGCCCUGGUGGUGUGAACUAAAGAUUCAUUCAGGUAGCUUCUCCUCAGGAGUGAGCUCAGAACAUUCUGUAUGUUUCAGCCAGACAACAGUGAAAAGCUGCAUCCCUAAAGUACCUGCUCCUUUACAACAGAAGUCGUAUUUCGUAGAGCCAGUGCUUUAACUGCCCUGAUAUCAUGUAAAGGUGCUCAUCUCCCCUGGCAGCCAGUUGUCAAAUGAAUAAGCAUAACUGAUCAGAUGAGUAACUUUUCCACAAACUGCAACUAACAGCUCAGGUUUUCCCACAGCUGUGGGAUACCAGCAGCUGUGUGCUUGAAAGUGUAUUACAGAGAUUACUGGUUAAGAGAUAAGUGCCCUCACUCCUAAAACAGGGUACUUUUGUCCACUGUGUAAUUGUCUAGAAUAAAACACCAGAGAACUAACAAGUAAACUUACAGAUUUCAAAUGCUUAGAGUGAUAAAUGUUGUCAGAUAAGAUACAGACUGUUGCAGUCUAGGUCUGACUCUUUGCCAUAUGCUGUGUCGUGGGCACCAUGGUAGCCCCAAAUGUUGUUGUAUAACCAACUACUGAAAUUAUUCUCAGUGUCUGUGACCGAGAUGCACCCAUUGCUCCCAAGGAUGUGCUGGGAAAGGGUUGGCAUGAGCUAUAUAUCUGACAAAGCAUUGUCACAUUCAGCUCCUGCCUGGGUCCCUUAGACCAAGUCCACACUCGAAAAUUUGGUGGGCAGAGGAGAAUCCGAUGGACAGAGAUGAGUCAGAAAAGCUCAUAGGGAAGGUACAGAUAUAAGAUCAAAGUUGGGCAUUUAUUGCUCAGUUGAUUUGUUCACAAGGACAGUUCUAAAAUACAGGUUCAUUAGAGAGAGGAAGGUACAGCACAUUACUCACAUUGAACUAUGGCAUUUAAUGCUACUGAUUCCCAAGAGCCUGAAUAGUGCUAUGCAAAUCAGAUAAACAGAAAGUAGUUCUGACUAUUGCUGAAAGUUGGGUUUAAAGUGUGCAUGAAGUUUCUGUUGUUCUUGAGAAGUCCCAGAAUUUCUUUGAUAGACUUAAAACACUGCAUAAAACACCUUUCAUUUUCACCUGUAUUUUUGAGAGAAGAGUAAGGAGAUAGACAGGGAAAACAGUCUGCGUUUUUAGAAACAUAUUACAAGGCUAAGAAAUAUGGGGAAGAAUACAUCACAAAAAGAGUGUGCAAAUUCUACCACAAACUGAAUUCUCUGA
Molecule: long non-coding RNA, 4208 nt
Organism: Corvus hawaiiensis (hawaiian crow)
Lineage: Eukaryota; Metazoa; Chordata; Aves; Passeriformes; Corvidae
Exons: 3
Source: RefSeq, a predicted model, not a curated record